GAUGAAGAACGCAGCGAAAUGCGAUAAGUAAUGUGAAUUGCAGAAUUCAGUGAAUCAUCGAAUCUUUGAACGCACAUUGCGCCCGCCAGUAUUCUGGCGGGCAUGCCUGUUCGAGCGUCAUUUCAACCAUCAAGCCCCCGGCUUGUGUUGGGGACCUGCGGCUGCCGCAGGCCCUGAAAAGCAGUGGCGGGCUCGCUGUCACACCGAGCGUAGUAGCAUACAUCUCGCUCUGGGCGUGCUGCGGGUUCCGGCCGUUAAACCCCCUUCAUAACCCAAGGUUGACCUCGGAUCAGGUAGGAAGACCCGCUGAACUUAAGCAUAUCAAUAAGCGGAGGA
Molecule: unclassified non-coding RNA, 336 nt
Filed under: soil metagenome
Description: partial contains 5.8S ribosomal RNA, internal transcribed spacer 2, and large subunit ribosomal RNA
Rfam family: 5.8S ribosomal RNA (bases 1-120)
Source: RNAcentral